Long non-coding RNA from Homo sapiens (human), 1187 nucleotides. RefSeq lists it as uncharacterized. The transcript is spliced from 2 exons. The record is from RefSeq and is a predicted model, not a curated record. NCBI's taxonomy places the organism in Eukaryota, Metazoa, Chordata, Mammalia, Primates, Hominidae.
GCAGUGAGCCGAGAUCACGUCACUGCACUUUAGCCUGGGUGACAGAGCGAGACUCCAUCUCAAAAAGAAGAGAACCCCAGAAACUUAGGCUGGAACACCACUUUCAUUUCCAUUAUUGUGAAAAUACAAUUCUAACCAGGAGUGCUCCAGGCCCUCCUCCUGCAGCCCAGGGCUCUGCUCUGUGGCAUGGUGCUGGAGCGCAGAUGCAGCAGUGAGGGUCUGUGUGGGCUGCAGGCUGUAGGCUAAGCUUCAUGGGCAGAAGCACCAUGGCCCAGUACUCUGAGUCAGGAACCAUUGAUUUAAUAUAUAAAUAGCCAAGAACAUAGAUCCCUCUUCCACAGUUUCUUUUUUGUUUUUUUGAGACGGAGUCUCCCUCUGUCACCCAGGCUGGAGUGCAGUGGUGUGAUCUCGGCUCACCGCAACCUCCACCUCCCAGGUUCAAGUGAUUCUCCUGCCUCUGCCUCAGCCUCCCAAGUAGCUGAGAUUACAGGUGCCCACCACAACGCCUGGCUAAUUUUUUGUAUUUUUAGUAAAGGCGGGGUUUCACCACGUUGGCCAGGCUUGUCUCGAACUCCUGAUCUCAGGUGAUCUGCCCACCUCGGCCUCCCAAAGUGCUGGGAUUACAGUAGUGAGCCACCGCACCUGGCACCACAGUUUCUACAGAGAAGUAAAACCCUACCUUCAGCAAGUACCUGAAUUUGGCUCCAAGUUGCAAAACUACCUCCUGUCAUGAAGAUGUGGGAAGUUUAUCUUUCAUAGAAUAUAAUCAACUGACCUCCCCAAUUCCCAGAAUCAGUCUCAGUGUUUCCUGUUUGGAUUGCCAUGAGGACAUCAACCCAGAGUGACUGUAGACCCUCUUCCCAGCACCUGAGAGUCUUUGAGACAUUUGAGGUUGUUGUGUGCAGACUGGGGUGAGGCUGACAAGAGGGUCUAAUUCUGCUACCAUCUAAGAGGGAGGGGAAUAAGUCAUUCAGUGUUUCUUCUCUUUCUCACAAAAAUAAUCUCUUUGGUUGGUUCCUAGAUGGGAGUUGUUCCAGUUUUCACUUGGGUGAAAAAAAAGGAGAGCUGGAGACUGAUCAACCAAUUACUUUCAUUUCAUAUGGCGAUUAGAAAAACAGAUGAGGCAAUCAUAAUCUCUGCAAUCCAGGAACUGUGUCUGUGGCAAAUGAAUAAAUGGCUGAAUUUCA